CACUGAAGGAGACACAGGAGGAGAGACAGGUGAAAAGCAGUCCCACUUCUGUGCCAGAUAUGACUGCCACCUUGAAUGGAGAAAUUCAGCUGUUUAAAUACAUGACUCUGGAAAUGAGGUUUUGGAUAUUUCUCCUUUUGACAUUGAAUGCAUAGACAUGUAAAUUUACAACUCAAUAAAACCUGGGCAGAAUGCAUGGCACAGCUCUUUGAGGAGUCUGCAAUGUAAACAGCAACAGGAGGAUUGAAAUAGAGCACCAUAAAUCAAAGUAUCUCCAACCUAGUGAUGAUUCAUCGAUCAACUGUGCACUUCAAGUAUUUCAGAGCAAGUGUCCUCUCAUUAGGGAUCUCUCCUGUGAAAGCAGAAAUGAUGGACGCUUGGCAAACAGUUUAAAUUUGCUUCUGCUCUUGCUUCUGAAAUUGUCUUUGAUGCCAAGUUUUUAAAAGUGGAUGCAGCUAUCCCUGGAUAUAGAACUGACCUCAGAGUACACAAGGGACAGAUGGAAGUACCAGGAAGUUAUCUCAACUUCGGGGUAAUCCUCAAGCAAUGAGAGGUGUAAGACCUCUGCUCUGGGAUACAGUUCUACUGAGCAGGAAGUGAUUCAGAACACUAUUGUGUCUAAGUCUGUCUACAAUGGUAAUUUGUUCUUCCAAUUAAUUGGGACAGCCAGUUAGCACUGGCAUGAAUCAGCACUACAGUUAAGAAGCUUUCCAUGAGGAAACAUUUUUUUUUAAGUCUGAGAUUAUGUGG
This is a long non-coding RNA of Talpa occidentalis (Iberian mole), 750 nucleotides long. RefSeq lists it as uncharacterized. The transcript is spliced from 7 exons. NCBI's taxonomy places the organism in Eukaryota, Metazoa, Chordata, Mammalia, Eulipotyphla, Talpidae. The record is from RefSeq and is a predicted model, not a curated record.